UCAAGUUAUUAAGGGUGCAGGGCGGAUGCCUUGGCACUAGGAGCCGAUGAAGGACGUGAUAAGCUGCGAUAAGCUUCGGGGAGUUGCACGUAAACUUUGAUCCGAAGAUUUCCGAAUGAGGAAACUCACUUAGAGUAAUGUCUAAGUAUCAUUAAGUGAAUACAUAGCUUAAUGAGGGGAACUCAGGGAACUGAAACAUCUAAGUACCUGAAGGAAGAGAAAGAAAUUCGAUUCCGUAAGUAGCGGCGAGCGAACGCGGAUUAGCCCAAACCAAUAAAGUUUUCUUUAUUGGGGUUGCGGACAUAUCAUAACGAAGAGGUAUCGUAAUUGAAGAGGUUUGGAAAGACCCACCACAGAAGGUAAUAGUCCUGUAUGUUAAACGAGAAGACUUUAGAUAUGAUCCAGAGUACCACGGGACACGUGAAACCCUGUGGGAAGCAGGAGGGACCACCCUCCAAGGCUAAAUACUACCUAGUGACCGAUAGCGUAUAGUACCGUGAGGGAAAGGUGAAAAGAACCCCGGGAGGGGAGUGAAAUAGAACCUGAAACCCUGCACUUACAAGCUGUGGAAGCACAUUUCUUGUGUGACCGCGUACUUUUUGUAGAACGGGCCAACGAGUUACGUUAAGUAGCAAGGUUAAGCACUUAAGGUGCGGAGCCGUAGCGAAAGCGAGUUUUAACUGAGCGUUCAGUUACUUGACGUAGACCCGAAACCGGGCGACCUACCCAUGAGCAGGAUGAAGCGAAAGUAAAAUUUCGUGGAGGUCCGAACCCACGAGCGUUGAAAAGCUCGGGGAUGACUUGUGGGUAGCGGUGAAAUUCCAAUCGAGCCCGGAGAUAGCUGGUUCUCCCCGAAAUAGCUUUAGGGCUAGCCUCAAGGUGAGAGAUACGGAGGUAGAGCACUGAAUGUCCUAGGGGGUAUUGCACCUACCGAAGACUAUCAAACUCCGAAUGCCGUCAUCUUAUACUUGGGAGUCAGACUGUGGGUGAUAAGAUUCAUAGUCGAAAGGGCAACAGCCCAGAUCGUCAGCUAAGGUCCCUAAAUGUAAGUUAAGUGGUAAAGGAUGUGGGAUUGCACAGACAACCAGGAUGUUGGCUUAGAAGCAGCCACUCAUUCAAAGAGUGCGUAAUAGCUCACUGGUCGAGUGAUCCUGCGCCGAAGAUUUCCGGGGCUAAAACUUACUACCGAAGCUACGGCAUCAUUAUGAUGGGUAGGGGAGCUUCCCAUACGGGUUGAAGCAUGACCGUAAGGACAUGUGGACAGUAUGGGAGUGAGAAUGUUGGCAUGAGUAGCGAGAUGUGGGUGAGAAUCCCACAGGCCGUAAACCCAAGGUUUCCAGGGGAAGGUUCGUCCGCCCUGGGUUAGUCGGGACCUAAGCUGAGGCCGAAAGGCGUAGGUGAUGGACAACAGGUUGAUAUUCCUGUACUACCGAUAACCGUUUGAGAGAUGGGAUGACACAGUAGGAUAAGCUAAGCACACUGUUGGUUAUGUGUGCCCAAGCAUUGAGGCAGUCAAAGUAGGCAAAUCCGCUUUGAUAAUGCUGGGAUGUGAUGGGGAGCGAAAUUUAGUAGCGAAGUAGCUGAUUUCACACUGUCAAGAAAAGUCUCUAUCGAGGUUAAAGGUACCCGUACCGCAAACCGACACAGGUGGGUGAGGAGAGUAUCCUAAGGCCAGCGAGAGAACUGUUGUUAAGGAACUCGGCAAAAUGACCCCGUAACUUAGGGAUAAGGGGUGCCACCAUCAGGUGGCCGCAGAGAAUAGGCCCAAGCGACUGUUUACCAAAAACAUAGGUUUCUGCUAAGUCGCAAGACGAUGUAUAGGAGCUGACGCCUGCCCGGUGCUGGAAGGUUAAGGGGAUCUGUUAGAGCAAUCGAAGCAGUGAACUUAAGCCCCAGUAAACGGCGGCCGUAACUAUAACGGUCCUAAGGUAGCGAAAUUCCUUGUCGGGUAAGUUCCGACCCGCACGAAAGGCGUAACGAUUUGGGCACUGUCUCAACAACAGACUCGGUGAAAUUGUAAUUCCGGUGAAGAUGCCGGAUACCUGCGACAGGACGGAAAGACCCCAUGGAGCUUUACUGUAGCUUGACAUUGGGUCUUGGUACUACAUGUACAGGAUAGGUGGGAGGCUUUGAAACCAGGACGCCAGUUUUGGCGGAGCCAUCCUUGGGAUACCACCCUUGUAGUACUGGGACUCUAACCAUAGGCCAUGAAUCUGGUCUUGGGACACUGUCAGGUGGGCAGUUUGACUGGGGCGGUCGCCUCCCAAAAGGUAACGGAGGCGCUCAAAGGUUCUCUCAGUACGGUCGGAAAUCGUACGUAGAGUGUAAAGGCAAAAGAGAGCUUGAUUGCAAGACAUACAGGUCGAGCAAGGAUGAAAAUCGGACUUAGUGAUCCGGUGGUUCUGCGUGGAAGGGCCAUCGCUCAACGGAUAAAAGCUACCCUGGGGAUAACAGGCUUAUCUCCCCCAAGAGUCCACAUCGACGGGGAGGUUUGGCACCUCGAUGUCGGCUCAUCACAUCCUGGGGCUGUAGUAGGUCCCAAGGGUUGGGCUGUUCGCCCAUUAAAGUGGUACGCGAGCUGGGUUCAGAACGUCGUGAGACAGUUCGGUCCCUAUCCGUCGCAGGCGUAGGAAAUUUGAGAAGACCUGUCCUUAGUACGAGAGGACCGGGAUGGACGUACCUCUGGUGUACCAGUUGUCCUGCCAAGGGCAUGGCUGGGUAGCUAUGUACGGAAUGGAUAAGCGCUGAAAGCAUCUAAGCGCGAAGCCAACUUCAAGAUAAGAUUUCCCACCGCAAGGGUAAGACCCCAGAAAGACUAUCUGGUUGAUAGGUCGAAGGUGUAAGUGCAGCAAUGUAUUUAGCUUAUCGAUACUAAUAGGUCGAGGACUUGACCAA
This 2895-nucleotide ribosomal RNA is filed under the name Clostridioides difficile. RNAcentral's name for it is "23S ribosomal RNA". It matches the Rfam family "Bacterial large subunit ribosomal RNA". The record is from RNAcentral. Lineage: Bacteria; Bacillati; Bacillota; Clostridia; Peptostreptococcales; Peptostreptococcaceae.